This 70-nucleotide transfer RNA is filed under the name Janus compressus. Its description in RNAcentral is "tRNA-Cys". The record is from RNAcentral. Lineage: Eukaryota; Metazoa; Arthropoda; Insecta; Hymenoptera; Cephidae.
AAUCUUAUAGUUUAUUAAAAAUUUUAAAUUGCAAGUUUAAGGUAAUAAAAUAUAUUAUUUAUUAAGAUUU